ACUGAUGAAACUGCUAGACAGCUUUCAGCCUUGUACUGACAACACUAGAAAUCCUGAUUCUCUACUGGCAACUGCUUCUGGAGGUGCAGCAGAGGACUCGAGGGGUGCGGAAAGCAGGAUCUCUGUCGACAGCAGUGCUUAUUCCUUGACAAACUGGAGACAGGAUGCAUCAACAGCAAAUGAUGAUAUUGCAGUGCAAGACUGGAGUAUCCUUGGACAUUUAUGUUUGACAGACUUCACAGCGGUGCUUUUCAACUUCACAUGCUUUUAAUUCUGGGUCUGCCUGACUUUGUGACCAUGACUAAUGUUCGUCCUGUAGUCAUACGUAUGCCGAGCUCAGUGAACCGUUUCUCCUACUUGAAGGUUCACGCUGUAACGGUACGUAGCUGUUAUCGUCUCGUCAGCUUGGCCUGUCCCUACCUUGAGCUUGGCACCAUCUGGAAACUUCAAGGCAAACCCAGAUAUGAAACAGCUGGGAGGAAAAGCAGAAGACUUUGCAAAGGUUGUGUUUACAAAACAAAAAAUGAUGCUAUAAAACAUCAGAUGGAACAAAAUAUAUACUGAAAUCCAGUGCUUUCUGCUUUGGCUAUAUCAGUGGUCUGUUCAUGAAAUCUUGAAUCGCCUGGUGUAGGGGUAACCAUUUAUUAAUUGAAGCUUUUAAAGCUGUAAUCCACCUAGAAGAAAGGAAAGACCAACAACUGUCUCCUACUGAGCGCUGCCAGCUUUGGGAUUCAAUUGGAGUUCUGUGAGGUCAGCUGAAUUCUUGCAGCUCUGCCUCGUGUCUUCAUUAUGAAAGGUCUACGCUUUGGAUAAAAAGCAGUGUACAGGAGGAUUUCUCUCAAUUCAACCUAAGGAAAACCGUAAACAUCCCUUCCCCUUCCUCAGCUCCCUCCAUUUGCAACAGUGAGCGCCACCAACAGGAAUUACCACAAGACUAAGUCGCUCCCAGCGGCAGGACUACAGAUUUUGCCAUGUGGUCAAAGUUCCAUUUCUAAUGAUCAGAGAAUGAAAUAACUCAUUGCAUAAGGUAAGUACAUUAUUACUUUAUAUAAAUUGUGACUAUUUAGCAUUUUUGGAAUGGUUCUCCAAUACUAUUUUUUAUAAACAGAGUACUGUGUUAAGCUUUUAAAAUAAUUCAGGGCAACAUAUAAUUGGUAAGUGGAGGCCAAGUCAGACAGGUGAAGUAAAUCCUCUCCUUAUAGUGUUAUUCAUGUGGAAGAUAAAAAAUACUACCUGUUCAGCAUUUAACUUUGCUAUUUGUUUAAAAAUAACCAUUGCUGAUAGGACUUUCAGCAUUAAAUGCUCUUUGGUGUUCUCUGUGCCAGGCAGAAUUAAAAAAAAAAAAAAAAGAGAAAAGAAAAAAGAAACCUCCUUCCAGUGGGGGCUGUUUGAGAUAUCAGGCCCAAAUCAAACAUUUAAGUUCAGAAUAGCUAAAUGAAUUGCUGGAAAAUAAAAAGCAUGAUAGUGGAAGGCA
Non-coding RNA from Struthio camelus australis, 1474 nucleotides. Lineage: Eukaryota; Metazoa; Chordata; Aves; Struthioniformes; Struthionidae. The record is from RefSeq and is a predicted model, not a curated record.